GGGUUGUGAGGUUAAGCGACUAAGCGUACACGGUGGAUGCCCUGGCAGUCAGAGGCGAUGAAGGACGUGCUAAUCUGCGAUAAGCGUCGGUAAGGUGAUAUGAACCGUUAUAACCGGCGAUUUCCGAAUGGGGAAACCCAGUGUGUUUCGACACACUAUCAUUAACUGAAUCCAUAGGUUAAUGAGGCGAACCGGGGGAACUGAAACAUCUAAGUACCCCGAGGAAAAGAAAUCAACCGAGAUUCCCCCAGUAGCGGCGAGCGAACGGGGAGCAGCCCAGAGCCUGAAUCAGUGUGUGUGUUAGUGGAAGCGUCUGGAAAGGCGCGCGAUACAGGGUGACAGCCCCGUACACAAAAAUGCACAUACUGUGAGCUCGAUGAGUAGGGCGGGACACGUGGUAUCCUGUCUGAAUAUGGGGGGACCAUCCUCCAAGGCUAAAUACUCCUGACUGACCGAUAGUGAACCAGUACCGUGAGGGAAAGGCGAAAAGAACCCCGGCGAGGGGAGUGAAAAAGAACCUGAAACCGUGUACGUACAAGCAGUGGGAGCACGCUUAGGCGUGUGACUGCGUACCUUUUGUAUAAUGGGUCAGCGACUUAUAUUCUGUAGCAAGGUUAACCGAAUAGGGGAGCCGAAGGGAAACCGAGUCUUAACUGGGCGUUAAGUUGCAGGGUAUAGACCCGAAACCCGGUGAUCUAGCCAUGGGCAGGUUGAAGGUUGGGUAACACUAACUGGAGGACCGAACCGACUAAUGUUGAAAAAUUAGCGGAUGACUUGUGGCUGGGGGUGAAAGGCCAAUCAAACCGGGAGAUAGCUGGUUCUCCCCGAAAGCUAUUUAGGUAGCGCCUCGUGAAUUCAUCUCCGGGGGUAGAGCACUGUUUCGGCAAGGGGGUCAUCCCGACUUACCAACCCGAUGCAAACUGCGAAUACCGGAGAAUGUUAUCACGGGAGACACACGGCGGGUGCUAACGUCCGUCGUGAAGAGGGAAACAACCCAGACCGCCAGCUAAGGUCCCAAAGUCAUGGUUAAGUGGGAAACGAUGUGGGAAGGCCCAGACAGCCAGGAUGUUGGCUUAGAAGCAGCCAUCAUUUAAAGAAAGCGUAAUAGCUCACUGGUCGAGUCGGCCUGCGCGGAAGAUGUAACGGGGCUAAACCAUGCACCGAAGCUGCGGCAGCGACGCUUAUGCGUUGUUGGGUAGGGGAGCGUUCUGUAAGCCUGCGAAGGUGUGCUGUGAGGCAUGCUGGAGGUAUCAGAAGUGCGAAUGCUGACAUAAGUAACGAUAAAGCGGGUGAAAAGCCCGCUCGCCGGAAGACCAAGGGUUCCUGUCCAACGUUAAUCGGGGCAGGGUGAGUCGACCCCUAAGGCGAGGCCGAAAGGCGUAGUCGAUGGGAAACAGGUUAAUAUUCCUGUACUUGGUGUUACUGCGAAGGGGGGACGGAGAAGGCUAUGUUGGCCGGGCGACGGUUGUCCCGGUUUAAGCGUGUAGGCUGGUUUUCCAGGCAAAUCCGGAAAAUCAAGGCUGAGGCGUGAUGACGAGGCACUACGGUGCUGAAGCAACAAAUGCCCUGCUUCCAGGAAAAGCCUCUAAGCAUCAGGUAACAUCAAAUCGUACCCCAAACCGACACAGGUGGUCAGGUAGAGAAUACCAAGGCGCUUGAGAGAACUCGGGUGAAGGAACUAGGCAAAAUGGUGCCGUAACUUCGGGAGAAGGCACGCUGAUAUGUAGGUGAAGUCCCUCGCGGAUGGAGCUGAAAUCAGUCGAAGAUACCAGCUGGCUGCAACUGUUUAUUAAAAACACAGCACUGUGCAAACACGAAAGUGGACGUAUACGGUGUGACGCCUGCCCGGUGCCGGAAGGUUAAUUGAUGGGGUUAGCGCAAGCGAAGCUCUUGAUCGAAGCCCCGGUAAACGGCGGCCGUAACUAUAACGGUCCUAAGGUAGCGAAAUUCCUUGUCGGGUAAGUUCCGACCUGCACGAAUGGCGUAAUGAUGGCCAGGCUGUCUCCACCCGAGACUCAGUGAAAUUGAACUCGCUGUGAAGAUGCAGUGUACCCGCGGCAAGACGGAAAGACCCCGUGAACCUUUACUAUAGCUUGACACUGAACAUUGAGCCUUGAUGUGUAGGAUAGGUGGGAGGCUUUGAAGUGUGGACGCCAGUCUGCAUGGAGCCGACCUUGAAAUACCACCCUUUAAUGUUUGAUGUUCUAACGUUGACCCGUAAUCCGGGUUGCGGACAGUGUCUGGUGGGUAGUUUGACUGGGGCGGUCUCCUCCUAAAGAGUAACGGAGGAGCACGAAGGUUGGCUAAUCCUGGUCGGACAUCAGGAGGUUAGUGCAAUGGCAUAAGCCAGCUUGACUGCGAGCGUGACGGCGCGAGCAGGUGCGAAAGCAGGUCAUAGUGAUCCGGUGGUUCUGAAUGGAAGGGCCAUCGCUCAACGGAUAAAAGGUACUCCGGGGAUAACAGGCUGAUACCGCCCAAGAGUUCAUAUCGACGGCGGUGUUUGGCACCUCGAUGUCGGCUCAUCACAUCCUGGGGCUGAAGUAGGUCCCAAGGGUAUGGCUGUUCGCCAUUUAAAGUGGUACGCGAGCUGGGUUUAGAACGUCGUGAGACAGUUCGGUCCCUAUCUGCCGUGGGCGCUGGAGAACUGAGGGGGGCUGCUCCUAGUACGAGAGGACCGGAGUGGACGCAUCACUGGUGUUCGGGUUGUCAUGCCAAUGGCACUGCCCGGUAGCUAAAUGCGGAAGAGAUAAGUGCUGAAAGCAUCUAAGCACGAAACUUGCCCCGAGAUGAGUUCUCCCUGACUCCUUGAGAGUCCUGAAGGAACGUUGAAGACGACGACGUUGAUAGGCCGGGUGUGUAAGCGCAGCGAUGCGUUGAGCUAACCGGUACUAAUGAACCGUGAGGCUUAACCUUACAACGCCGAAGGUGUUU
Molecule: ribosomal RNA, 2931 nt
Filed under: Escherichia coli
Lineage: Bacteria; Pseudomonadati; Pseudomonadota; Gammaproteobacteria; Enterobacterales; Enterobacteriaceae
Description: 23S ribosomal RNA
Rfam family: Bacterial large subunit ribosomal RNA
Source: RNAcentral